GGUGAUUGCCAAAACCUAUCUUCCAGGGAUUUAGAGAUAAAGGAAGCUUCCAAAGGAACUUUUUUGUGUUAAAGUAGAUUUACAGAAUCCUGGUUGCAGUGGUGGGGAGGGGUCACACUCGGAUUGCCUUUUGCCCUUGGCAGUGAAUAAAGACCAGACCCCUCCCUUGGGGAGUCUGUGUUCUGGAGAAGUCGGGCAAGAAACAAGAGUUAAUACAAAAAAGGAUGUAGUGUCUUAAAAGGAUAGAUGUGAUGGGAAGAAAACCCAUACAAGGGGAUGGAGAGAAUAGAGGAAAGGUGCCCCGGGAAGGCGUCAGUGAGAAGGGGAAAUUUGGGUAAAGACCUGAAGGAGGAGAGGGAGGACCCAAGGGAUAUUUGGGGGGAAGAGCAUUCCAGGCCACGAGAACAGCCAGUGCAAAGGCCCUGAGGUCAAAGCAGGUAAGGAGUGUUAGAGGAAGAGGAGAUGAUGCAGCCAGAGCAGAGUGAACAAAGCAGAGAGGAGAGGGGAUUGUCUCCUGAGUCUGCUGCCUGCUGCGUGGAGGCCGUGGGUUUUACUGAUACUCUGCACUCUUGUCCUCACAGAUCAGCAGGCAUGCUUCUGUACCUGCCACCAGUGGCCCCUUGCUGAGGGCCCUCCUGUGCACCGUGUCAUCUCAGCUCCCAAAUACCCUCAUUAUUCCCACUUUGUAGAUGAGAAAACUGAGGGAUGAGAUGGGAUUCAUCUGGAAAAAGGUAUGUGUUGGGGGAGGGCCUGGGCCUCUCUAAUGUUCUCAGGGAGGAGACCACGAGGCCUGUCAUAAGAAGGGAACCGGCUUUUCUUUGGCUGUUCCACUCGGCUUCCAGAAAAGCCCAAAUCUUGGGGUCACAGGCUCCUCCAGAGUGGGGCAGGAGCCCUGCUGUCCCCAGUCUUCCUUCCCUAGGCUGAUGGCCCUCAGUGACAGCCAGCAGCCGUAGAAUUGGCACCCCCCCUGGUGUGGGGGUGGUCAGUUGAGAGAACGAGGUUUUUCCUACCAGACAGGCCUAAAGGAUUGUGGGAGGAAUCGGGGUGGUUCUCAGCAGGACAAAAGGAGGCUGGCUGGGCUUCGGGUGGGGAACCGACUUCCACCUUUGAGGGAGGGGGCCAGCCUCCUGACCAACCCGCUAAGUCCCUUGGCCUGUCUUAGCAAGUCCCAUAGAAUUGAGGUCUAGAAAAUGUUUCCUCACUCGUGCGACAGAUAUUUUCAUGGGUCUGUUUGUCCUGUGAGGAACGGUGGAGGGGCGGCUGGCUGGCUGGGUGGGUGAGGAAGUGAUGAAUGAAGGACCAGACGGGGGGAUGGAUUCGUGGCUGGACAGACAGAUACGCGAGGAGAUGGGUAGCUGAGUCGGUGGUGGCUGAAUGGGUGGUCGUGGAAAGGAUGAGUGGAUGGUUUAGUGACUCAUGAGUGGGUGUAUUAAGUAUCUCCUAGAGUGUAAAAAAUCACCCCAAAAUGUAGUGGCUUGGAACAACAAAUAGGCAUCAUCUCACUGUUUCUGUGGGGUGGGAACUCAGGAGGGGCUCGGCUGGGUGGUUCUUACUCAGGGCUCCCAUGGGGCUGCCAUCGGGACAGCAGCCAGGGUCUCGGUCUCAUCUGAAGGCAUCCCGGGCUGGAGGGCCCACUUCUGCGAUGGCGUCCCACACUGCGGUUGGCCGAAGGACUCAGUUUCUCCUCCACUGGUUCUCCAGAAGCCUACUUAAGUGUUCUCAUGACGUGGCUCUUUCUACAGUGAGCGACCAAAGCCGAAACUAUGAGGACCUUUAUCACUAAGGUCUCUGAUGUCAGCAAGUCAACUGACGUCAGCCCACGCUCAGGGGAGGCAAAUUAGGACCCACCGCUGGAAGGAAGAGCAUCAGAGAACUUGUGGACAGAUUUUUAAAACUGUGGCAACAGAUAAAGGGAUGGUGUACCCACUGUUCUUCCGUGACACUGGGAUCUUAGCAUGAUCUCAGCGCAUAGCCCACUUGUGAAAUUCACCUGGGACGCUGCUAGACACUCUCCGAGCCGGGGUGCCAGCCCCAGGCCCUCUUAAGGACUUGCUCUGAGCAGAGACUGGACAUUUGUGGGUUCAUUUUGUGGGAAGAUCUUAAACUGUAGCCAUAACAUUUCUGUUUCCACCACAUUUUGUUACUGUGGUAAAGCGUACACAUUGUAAAACAGACCGUUUUAGCCUCUUUCGAAGGUGUGGCUCCGUGGCAAUGGGUUUAUUCAGGUGGUGGACCCCUCCCCUCCAGAAAUGUUUGUUUUCUGAAACUGAAGCCCUACCUGUUCAACCCGACUCCCCACUCCUCCCUCCCCAGCCCACAGCGAGGCCAUGUUCCGUCUCUCCGAGUUCCCCCUGCUCCAGACCCAGCGGAGUGGAUGGAACCCCGGGGCCUCGGGCUUGAUUGACUUAGCACAGUGACGUCAUUGUAGGCACGUCAGAGCUUCAUUGCUGUUGCAGCUGAAUAACCUUCCGUUGUCUGGAUGGACCCCGUUUAGUUUAUGCAUUGUCUGUCGGUGGGCAUUGAAGACAGUAUCCACGUUGGUAUUGUCAAGGCUACCAGGGAUGAAAAACAAGGCCUUAGACGGGGCCUCACAGUCCUGGCUGCACGUGCCAAUCACCCGGUAGCGGUUCAAAAAAUACCAAUGCCCCAUGAGCCUGGCCGACCCCCUGGAUCGGGAUCUCUGGGGGUGGGGGGGACCCAGGAGUCUGUAAGAAUAACCAGUUCCUUCCCCUAGAACGCCAGGGGGUGCGGACUCAUUGCCAAGCCUCUGCUGCCCCCUUGUGGCAGCACCUGGGAUCCUCCCUCCCCCGGGACUCGCCGGCCUGCUCAUAAGGAGCCCAGGAGGGCCAGGCCCCCAUGCCAUUCCCUGACCACAGCUGCGUCUGGACAAGUCCCUGAGAUCACAGUUACGGAUGCGGGUUAGCUUUGGGGAGCACCUGGAAUUCCUCAGCCUCGGCACUGCUGACAUUUCGAAACCCUACAAAACCACCUCCGUGGAGAGCCACUGCCCCACGAGUGUGUGAUGCCUGCAGGAGGAGAAGCCAGCAGAUGGAGAAGGUGCGGCAGGAGGGCGCAGGCCUGGCCCAGUCGGGGUGGACCCUGGCAUGGUGAGGAAAUGGUGGUUCAGAGAGGUCAUCGGACUUGCCCAAGCCCACACAGCCUGGAGGAGGAAUCACUUCAGUGCAAACUCAGGAGAGAGGUUCGAGACCCGGACACAGGGGAGAACAUCACUGCAGACAGAGCAGAGAGGGGAGGCAUGCAGCCCCAGAUCAAGAAACAUCCAACAUGGCCAGCAGCCGCCAGCACCGAGGACAGAGGCAUGGACAGCACUGUCCCCUAGACUUGGACUUCAGACUUCGGGCCCAAAACCGUGGGAGAAUGCGUUUCUGUUGGUUUAAGGCGCCCAGCACGUGGUAUGUUGUGUGCCGCCCAGCCGCUCGUCUGUAGGGUCUGCCGUCAAGCUAGGGCUCGGUGUUUGUUGAAUGAGUAAGAACCGGCGGUGGGGGGGGGGCUUGCUGGCCUGUGAAGGGACCAGAAGGGAAACAGUCCUCCGCUGAGCUUUCUCUGGCUGCCUCAAGGAGCUUUGUGACCCCGCAGGUCCCCGCAGGCUACGCACAUGACACUGUCCCCCUGCCCUCCCCACCAGUGGCCCUGUUUUGCUACAGACUUCGGGCAGCCCCACACGGCAUCCAGCAUCCAGGCAGAUGCGGGAUCCCAUUCUUUGAGCAAGAGCAGAGACCGACUGGGCCUCACCCCGGUGAAUGAUAGCGGAGAGAAAGCGCGCUGCGGGCUCUGGGGGGCGUGUCCUUCUUUCUUGCUUCCCCCGUUCUGGACUGGCCGGCAGGAGUGUCAGCUUUGGAAAGAAUCUUCAUCCUGUCGAUGUCUUUGAACUUCGGACCACUCUGUGCCCGCCCCCCCAGUCCCUCCUGGGCUUCCAGCGACAUCAGAUGAAAGACAGCCUUUUGGUGGGAGCUGAACACAUCCAGACGCAUGCGCCAGCCCUCAGAGGUAGGGCCUUUCGUCCUCAUCGAGAAACAGACUCGAGGGAGACUAAGUCACUUCCCCUGGGGACGUAAGGCAGGAAAGUGGCAGAGCUGGGAUUCCCAGCCAGGCCUGUCUGCCUCAACAUCCCGUAUAUUCAGCCGCCUCUCCACACUUGCUCUUGGUCUUAACUGUCUUGAUUUUACACGAGGCUGAGGGCCUGUGGAAGGCGCCGCUCAGCCAGCUCUAAGCCCAGCGGGGACAGUGUGUCGUGCGUCCACGACAAAGCAAUGACUGCCUUGUCAGCGCUGGGGCCUCACUGAACCAGGAAGAGCGCCCAGGACUUGGACACGCAUUAGCAGACUUGCUCCUUCACAGUAAUCCUAACACCGAUGAGGAUCCUGAGCCCCACAGAGCCUGGCAGCUGUGUGCGGAGCCGUGCAGACUGUGAGGGGCGGAACUGGGCUUCAAAAAUCGCUCGGUCUCACUCUGGAGCCCUCCCACCCUGGCCCUAGCCCCCCCAUCUAUAAUAUGCGCUCACGGGGCUGGACUCUGAUGAUGACUGUUGUCUUCCUGGAGCCCAGCAGUGCCUGGCUCCUGGAGGGAACUCAGCAAGUGUUUGUUGAAUGAAUAAAUGAGCCCCAGCAGGAACCUGAGGCUUGAGAAGCCCAAAGAAAAGCCUGGGGACCGGAGGCUCUUCCCAGCCAUCCUCAGUUUAGGCAGCGACUCCUACGACUCAAUAGCAACGAGACAAACAACCCGAUUUGAAAGUGGGCAAAGGACGUGAACAGACAGUUCUCCAAAGAAGACAUACAGAAGGCCAGUGAAGGUAUGUGAAAAGACACCCCACACCACUGGUCACCAGGGAAAUGCAAAUCAAAACCCAGACGAGACAGCCCCUCACACCU
Enhydra lutris kenyoni (northern sea otter) is the source of this 4889-nucleotide long non-coding RNA. RefSeq lists it as uncharacterized. The transcript has 4 exons. The record is from RefSeq and is a predicted model, not a curated record. Lineage: Eukaryota; Metazoa; Chordata; Mammalia; Carnivora; Mustelidae.